CAAUAGCGUAUAUUAAAGUUGUUGCAGUUAAAAAGCUCGUAGUUGGAUUUCUGGUUGGUACGGACGGUCCCGAGCAAUCGGCGAACUGUGUGUGCUGACCUUCCUCUCGGGGGCUGCGUGGUGCUUCACUGUGCUGCGUGGAAUUCGAGACCUUUACUUUGAAAAAAUUAGAGUGUUCAAAGCAGGCCUUUGCUUGAAUACAUUAGCAUGGAAUAAUGGAAUAGGACUUUUGUUCUAUUUUGUUGGUUUCUAGGACAGAAGUAAUGAUUAAUAGGGACAGUUGGGGGCAUUAGUAUUUAAUUGUCAGAGGUGAAAUUCUUGGAUUUAUGAAAGACUAACUACUGCGAAAGCAUUUGCCAAGGAUGUUUUCAUUAA
This 375-nucleotide ribosomal RNA is filed under the name uncultured eukaryote. Its description in RNAcentral is "partial 18S ribosomal RNA". It matches the Rfam family "Eukaryotic small subunit ribosomal RNA", at positions 592 to 976 of the family's 1831-position model. The record is from RNAcentral.